CUAAUGCUAUGUUCAGACUACGCCGUUGUAUCAUGAUAUAAGCGGUUUUCGUGAUACAAGGCCAAUAUCAUGUUUCUGGAACGUGAUAUUGCCAUACAUUUUUGACACCUCCAAUAUCACCUUCCCGAACGUGAUAUUCUGAAUAUCACGAUACAACUGCUCGAAUUUGCUGCUCGAAUGACGAUUUUCUGGCAACCCUGUCGGAUUUGACAGCAAUGCCAAACCAGAAAGUUUGUUUUUAUUUAUAAUCUUUUUUCAUUUUUCGCGUCCACAACGGCUACUACCGCAAGAAAAACCGGGAUCAGAAACCAAGUUGUGGGAUAAUCUUUCGUAAUAUCGGAGAAAGUCGGUGCGGAUGUGCAGAUCCGGAUAGUGUUUCGGUUGGGGUAGGAACAUCGCCACAAAAAAGGAACCAUUGUGUUAAUUUCGGGAGGCGGCAAUAGUGGAAUCCAGGAAUCGGCAGCAUUUACCGCGACACUGAACGAGGCAAAAGUUCCAAUACCGCCACCAGCAAUUACCAUAACUUGUGGAGGUAUUUUUACUGGCACAUGCAACGAAGGUGUAUUCUUCCUCCAGGGUAAAUGAAAUUCGCCGUGGACAUUCACCUGACACCGGUUACCUCUGCCAUACAAAGCGCCAGCAACCACAUUUGGGAAUUCUAUCUAAACAACCAUCGGCAUUUCGGUCGAUGCAUGAUGCACGGAUGUCGAUAUGGAGGUUCAAUAAGGUCAAUCAUCGAGUGGUGGAGAAACUGAAACUGCCGCCUAAUGCGAUGGUGACGCCCAACAGCAAAAUCAGCACAUUGAUCCGGAGCUGGACCAAAUGAUGCUAGAGCUCUACCCAAAAUUGAUCUACCUACUGAUCCAGACUGAUCCUAGCCAAGAUUAUCGCCUGCUUAUUUUUAAUUUUAAGUGAAAUGGUUCAAGGAUGAUUUGAUCUGAACGGAUAUUUCAAGAUAUAUUGAUGUUGUGAACGAAGUACGGUAAAUAAUUUAUUGAAUUAUAGCCAUUUGUCUUGGUAUUAUACUGUUGACAAUUGA
Molecule: long non-coding RNA, 1039 nt
Organism: Aedes albopictus (Asian tiger mosquito)
Lineage: Eukaryota; Metazoa; Arthropoda; Insecta; Diptera; Culicidae
Exons: 2
Source: RefSeq, a predicted model, not a curated record